This 501-nucleotide ribosomal RNA is filed under the name uncultured bacterium. RNAcentral's name for it is "partial 16S ribosomal RNA". It matches the Rfam family "Bacterial small subunit ribosomal RNA", at positions 30 to 523 of the family's 1533-position model. The record is from RNAcentral.
AUUGAACGCUGGCGGCAGGCUUAACACAUGCAAGUCGAGCGGGGGAAGGUAGCUUGCUACCGGACCUAGCGGCGGACGGGCGAGUAAUGCUUAGGAAUCUGCCUAUUAGUGGGGGACAACAUCUCGAAAGGGAUGCUAAUACCGCAUACGUCCUACGGGAGAAAGCAGGGGAUCUUCGGACCUUGCGCUAAUCGAUGAGCCUAAGUCGGAUUAGCUAGUUGGUGGGGUAAAGGCCUACCAAGGCGACGAUCUGUAGCGGGUCUGAGAGGAUGAUCCGCCACACUGGGACUGAGACACGGCCCAGACUCCUACGGGAGGCAGCAGUGGGGAAUAUUGGACAAUGGGGGGAACCCUGAUCCAGCCAUGCCGCGUGUGUGAAGAAGGCCUUAUGGUUGUAAAGCACUUUAAGCGAGGAGGAGGCUACUUUAGUUAAUACCUGGAGAUAGUGGACGUUACUCGCAGAAUAAGCACCGGCUAACUCUGUGCCAGCAGCCGCCGUAA